GUGGUAAUGCCGGAUGCUCCAGUUGAUCGCAUGGUCUUCUGGGAAAGCUUUCGCGGUAUGGGAUGGGGUCGCGUCCUAUCAGCUUGACGGCGGGGUAACGGCCCACCGUGGCUUCGACGGGUAGCCGGCCUGAGAGGGCGACCGGCCACAUUGGGACUGAGAUACGGCCCAGACUCCUACGGGAGGCAGCAGUGGGGAAUAUUGCACAAUGGGCGCAAGCCUGAUGCAGCGACGCCGCGUGAGGGAUGGAGGCCUUCGGGUUGUAAACCUCUUUUAUCGGGGAGCAAGCGAGAGUGAGUUUACCCGUUGAAUAAGCACCGGCUAACUACGUGCCAGCAGCCGCGGUAAUACGUAGGGUGCAAGCGUUAUCCGGAAUUAUUGGGCGUAAAGGGCUCGUAGGCGGUUCGUCGCGUCCGGUGUGAAAGUCCAUCGCUUAACGGUGGAUCCGCGCCGGGUACGGGCGGGCUUGAGUGCGGUAGGGGAGACUGGAAUUCCCGGUGUAACGGUGGAAUGUGUAGAUAUC
Molecule: ribosomal RNA, 523 nt
Filed under: Bifidobacterium longum subsp. infantis
Lineage: Bacteria; Bacillati; Actinomycetota; Actinomycetes; Bifidobacteriales; Bifidobacteriaceae
Also listed under: 2 other names
Description: bacterial SSU rRNA
Rfam family: Bacterial small subunit ribosomal RNA
Source: RNAcentral